RNAcentral lists this long non-coding RNA (32795 nucleotides) under Capsicum annuum. RNAcentral describes it as "long non-coding RNA (CANN_LNC011789)". Lineage: Eukaryota; Viridiplantae; Streptophyta; Magnoliopsida; Solanales; Solanaceae. The record is from RNAcentral.
GUGUUUUGUGCAUAUAUAUAAUAUAUAAUAUGUAGUAGUAGUAGUGUGUAGUAGUAGUGUAGUAGUAGUGUUUUUUUUCUUGUUUUCCGUGUGUGUGUAUAUAGUAUUAGUCGUGUAGUGUAUGUAGUAGUGGUGUGUCGUGUAUAUUCUGCAGUGUGUUUCUCCUAGUAGUGCAUGUGUGUCGUGUGUAUAAUAUGUAGUGUAGUGUGCAUGUGCAUGUCUAUGCUGUAGUAGUAGUGUGCAUAUGUAUAUAUAGGUAGUAGUGCAUAUAUAGUAGUGGUAGUAGUGUUUUGGUUUUUGUAGUUUCCGUGUGUAGUGUAUAGUAUUAGUAUUCUAGUAGUAGUGUGUGCAGAUAUGUAGUAUAUAUAGUAGUAUGUAGUAGUGUUUGUAGUUGUGGUAGUGUGGGAGGGAUAGUGGGGGAGGUUGAUUAGGAGUGGGGGAUUGUGGGUGGUUUGGGUAGAUUUAGGAUUUGACUUCUUCUUCUCUUUUUUUAAAAAAAAAUAAAUAAAUAAAUAAAUAAAUAAGUAAUAAAAAUAAAUAAAUAAAAAAUUUAUUUUAAUAUGACUUUAUUUUGUAGUUUUCCAAACUUUAAAAGCAAUCUUGUAAAAUAAGAUACUAAAUGACGUAAAACAUUCAGUUUGGUCAAAAAUUAGGUGUUUACAUAAUUAUUUUUAAUUUUUUUUUGUUCUCACCGGUGUCAAGUACCCAUUGUAGGGGUAACACUCUCAACAAGAUUUUCUUCAUACGCAGGGCUCGAACCUCAGACCUCUGGUUAAGGGUAGAGUAGUCCCGCCACUACAUCACAACACAUAUUGAUUUUUUUAAUUCAACUAUGUACAUAUGAAAGGCUUACUUCAAAAAGAUGUAAAAUAUUUUGAUUGUACAGAUUGAGAAAAAAAUGAAAGACCAUAUCAUUAUUUCGGAUAAAGAUAGAGAUCUACAUUUUUUUCUAAUCUAAGUAUAAAUAUUAUCUACAAUUUCAUUAAAAUAAGAAACUAACAAUUUAUAGAAUUAAUAUUUUUAUACAUAAUCAGUAAAAUAUAUUAAUUUUUUAAUUAAAUAAUUUCACUAGUUUUAAAUAAGAUAUUCAAAACACAAACGUCAUCAUUGAAUGCAAAGAUGAUAACAAGUCACCCAAUGAAUCAUUUCUUGUUUAUGUUCGGGAUGUUAGUGCUAAGAUUUCAUCGCUCGAAUCUGUCCUUGUGGUUCGUGAGUUUCCUAAUGUAGUUUCGCCCGACCUACAUGGCACCCAGUAUCCCUACUUGUUUGAGUCCUCAAGUACAUCCUUAUGCUUUACUUUUGCGGAUGAAAGUCCUUUUUGUAUUGGGUGUUAUAAUGACCCUCACGGUCAUUUAUCUGUAUUUUCAUAUAUUUUCGGUAUCCAGGGAUUUUCUAUAACUUUUCUAAGUUAUUUAUGACUUGUUGGGACUGAUAGUUCGAUUCUUAAGCGGUUCUUUUGAAUUUUUGUAGUAUCUAAUAUAUUGUAUAAUAUUUUAUUUAAAUUGACAUUUGAUUAUUAUGGUUACUAUGAGUUUCAAUUUGAGCCUGACAUCUGAUUAUAGUUGUGGUUUCUCUGAGUUCUGGCCCGAGUCUAGUAUCUGAAUGUGGCCUCUCGUUUUACCCACUAUGUCCAGUUUGAAUCUGGCACGUAUCCUUUUGUUAUUAUCUAUUACUACUGGUUCGGGUUCAGUAUCUGGCCUCUCGUUACUACCCAUUGGUGCCGAUUCAAGUUCGGUGAAUAUCUGGAUGACUAUCAUGAUUUCUUAGGACUGGCUCAAUUAUAGAUUAUUUACGUUUAUUUUCUUUAAUUGCUACUUAUGUGUCCCACCGGCUUAUGGGGGUACAGUUGGGUUAAUUAUCUUUUUCAGUGUGCUCAGCAGGCAUGUGGGGGCCCAGUUAGUUUAUGUUUGUGUGUCUAGCAGGCUUAUGGGGGACCAGUUAGGUUAUGUUUAAUUUUCUUGUAAUUACUGCGUUAUUUAUUUUUUGUAUCGCUUAUAUUUAUUCCUUUAUCUCAUUAGCAUAGCUUGGCAGUUAUUUACCUUUCUGUCCUUUUUUACUGUUGACUUAGAUUACAUCCUUGCAUUGUAGUUAUACCUUUUCUGUAUUGAGCUCAUUCGGCCGAUGAUGCCUACUGAGUACCCGUUGCUUUGAUACUCAUACUACACUUCUGCAUAUUUUUUCUGAUGCAGAUUCGAGUAGUAUCAGCCGACAUUGACGUGAUUCCUACCUUUCAGUAAUGAUUAAGAGCAGGGUGAGCUUACUGUUGUCCGAGGCUGAUCCUACUCUAUCUAUUCUAGUUUAGUCUUUUGUACUCGAGACUGCUUGUAUAUAUUAUGUAAAUUUUGGAUUCUAUCUAGUACUCUAGUAUCUUUAGUAGUGGCUUUAGUACCGACCUUACCAAGUCUUGGGAGCAAUUCAUUUAUGUAUUUGGUCCUUUUUCCUUCCUUCGUUUUAAUAUAUGGUAUAUAUUUCCCUUCUAUUUGUCGGUUGUUAUUACUAUGUCUAUCAUUAUAUGUGAUCUUUAUGAUUUCUGCCUAUUAGCCUAUUACCUAUUAUUCCGAGCUCUUGGCUUACCUACUAGGGGAUAAGGUAGGUGUCAUCAUGACUUAAGAAAUUGGGUCGUGUCAUGUCUAAGUAUAUUCGUCUUGAGUAGAGUGUCAAUUGACCAAUUUUAUUUGAAAUGAUUCAAAUUAAGACAUUAUUAGUAAUAACUACAUUGAUUUAACUAAAAUUAAAGAUGAAUUGAUAAGUUUAAUUACAAUUUAAAUUAUUCUCAUAUUAAUUACAUGAUCAUCUUAGUAUGUUUGUCUUAAGUAGAGUGAUUGGAUAAGUGACCUAUUUAUAAAAGAUUGAAUGAGUGAGUAGUGUAGUGUGUUAGGCAAAAAAUCACGACCGUUCACCUCUUUUUUAAUAAUUAUAUCUCUAAAUUAAAUCAAACUUGGUCACUUUUCGAUUAUUUAAAUUAAAAAAGUAGAUUUAAAUAUAAAAAAGAUUAAAAGUCAUAACUUUUCACCUUUUUAAUAUUUUAGUUAUUUAAUUUAAAUAUCUACAAAAUUGUGUUUAGCAUAUUUUUUAUAUUAUUUAUUUAUGAAUCGUUGUUUUAAUUAAAUGAUCGAAAAGUCAUGGCCUUGAGUUCUUCCAACAGAUGAUCUAUCAGUUGCAACAUAUGAUCCAUUUGUUGCAACAGAUGAUCCCUUUGUUGCAACAUAUUACUCAUUUUUUGGAAUAAUUGAUUCAUUUUUGCAACAUAUGGUUCAUCCAUUGCAACAGAUGGCCCAUCUGUUGCAAUAGAUGGUUCAUCUAUUGUAACAGAUUAUUCAUCUGUUGCAACAUAUUGUUCAUCUGUUGAAAAAAUAAAUUAGUAGCAAGAUUUAUUCAAUAGAAACAAUAACAAAUCAUUAUUUAUGUUUUUUUUUUGGUUUCCCAUCUGGUGUCUGGUGCCCACAUUGGAGCCUCGACUAAUCUGGAUCACGUGUUGUAGGGCCUAUUAAGGUGGCAGCGCUUCCGACAAAGUUUUGUUCAUACCCAGGGUCGAACCCUUGACCUCUGGUUAAGGGUGGAGCAUCCCCAUCCACUGCACCACAACCCAUGUUGGUAAUCAUAUUUAUCAAUACACCAUUUUUACCAAGACCAACAACUUAUCAAUUUAGUUGUUACUAAUAAUAGCUUAAUUUUGAAUCAUUUUUCAAAUUAAAUUGGUCAAUUGAUCACUCUCCUCGAGAUAAAUACACUUAGGCCCUAUUUUUUUGCACUUAAUGGAGGUCUGAAUCUAAAUAGUUCAGACUUCAGCCCAUUAAGUGCAUUUGUUUUUUUUUUUAAAGAGCCUCUUAAUGUAUCUGAAAAUAUCUGAAUAGAUAAGAUAUGAAAAGAAUUCUGAAUAGCAUUCAGACUCUUUUUAAAACAUAAUCCCUAACUCUCUCACUUCAUUAUUUCCUCUCUUUUUUCACGUUAUCUCUCUCCCUCUCUUUUCACGUUAUCUCUCCCUCUCUUCAUGUUUCUCUCUCUCUCUCUCUCUCUCUCUCUCUUUCUCUUCACUUGCUUUCCUUCUCUUUUAGGUAUGAUUCACCAAAAUAUUUUAUAAAUAUUUUAGUUAUCAAUUUCUUUAUUCAUUAUUUGCUAAACUCUAAAUUUCUACUUUCAAUUUUUUGUUUUAAUUAUAAAAUUUGUAGUUCUUUGGAUAAUAGAAUCUUAUAUGUGCAUGUUCAUAAUGUAACAUUGAACUUACUAAUGAUAUUUUCACUCAGAUUUCAUGGUUAACAAAUAAACAUGUGUCCGUUCUUGUAUUAAUUAGUUAUUCAAAUACUUUAAUAUUUAUGCAUCUAAGUCAAAAUUAUAUCUGAUUAAUUAUUUUAGUUUGUUCGAUCAGUUUAAUUGAUAUAUUACUUUAUGUUGAAUUUAAUUUAUUAUAAUUACAUCAUAUCACGAUAAUUUUUAAUCGAUAUAUCUUUUUUUAAUAAUUUAAAUUAACAUAAUAUAUUUAUCUUUAAAUAUUUUAAUUAUCACUUAAACAAUAUUUUUGUUGUUUAAGUUAAUACUUUAUGCAAUAUUUUUUUAUAUAAUAUAAUAUUUUAUUAUUUUUUUAAAUGUGAAUUUCAUAUUUAUUAUAAAUAAAUAAAUUACGUACAUUUAGAUGUUAAAAAACAAAUAGUCUUAAUCAUUCAGUAUUCAGAUCUAGAAACAGCAUCUUAAUCAUUCAGAUAUCCACUCAGAUUCAAAUGUCUUAAUCUUACAAAAAACAAAUGCACCCUUAGUUGAUAAUGUAAUGUAAUACCCCAUAUUUUUUCUAGCUUAAAUUUGUUCCUAGAAUGUUAAGAGAUAGCUUCAAAAAAAUAAAUAAUAGUUAUUCCAUGAGAAAUUUUCAAGAUUUUGACUUUUCAUUGUGUAGGAAAUUGAAUAAGCUUUCCAUCGAUACCAAAUUCGCCUAAAUCCGACACUCGAUGAAGGAGUUAUGGCAUUUUUAAGUUGACAGUAUGUCAUCUGGACUCUCAAGCACGUCGCGAAGCUAAGAAAAUUAGCAGUUGUCAAAUUUCAGUGAGACUCCGCGAUUCCACCGUAUCACGGAGGAUUCCCAUUUCAUAAUUGUCAAUUUUCAGCAAGCCAAUGUGAUAGUAGCGCGUUGCGACAGUGGCCAAAAUGGAAAAACUAUAGGGCACCACGAUAGCUCCGCAUUGCAGAGAAAGUCCGGUUCCCACUCAUCCUUUUCCAGUGAUCCACCGGAUUAUGGUACGUCGCGGUGGCCAGCCAAAUCGGCACUUUUGCUGCUUUUUCAGUAUCAUUUAAAAGCUCAAGGGGGUGUUUUGGUCAAUUCUCAAGCCCCCAAAUCCGUCCAAACAUACAAUUUAACUCUAUUACAAGCCUUCUAUGCUUAUAUUCAUCAAAAUUUCUCUCAACCAAAACCCUAAGCUUCAUCAUUCAACUUCAAGAAUCCCCAAGAUUCCACCAUUCUUUUCCCAAAUCAGUUCAAGAUUCAAAGUUCCCAAUUUAAGGACACCAAGGAUUAUCAUUCAAGAGAACAAAUAGGAUCUCAAAAGCAAGCUUGUUCAUCUAGUUCAUAAUCCAAGGUAUGUGGGAUUUGAACAAGGAUAAUUCUUUCAUCCUUGUUCCCAAAACUUUAUUUUAAUUACAAAUUUAUUGCAACUUAUAUAAUUUUUCAUGAAAUUCAAGUUAGGGUUUAUACUCAUUAUCACUAUUAGUAAGAUUAUGAGAUUUUUCAUGAUUUAGAAGUUGAAUUACGUGAUUAUAUUUAUAUUUCCAUGCAUAUUGUUGAAAUUUCCAGAUUUUAAGUUGAUUUAUGAAUGUUUACAUUAUCAAGCAUGAAUUUUAAGAUGUUUUAACAUGAGAUUGAUGCAUGGGUCAUUACGCCCUAAUUAAGAUUUGCUAUUUUGAGAUUAUUUAUGCUAUGAGCACCCUCAGAUAAGAUUAUCCUCAGAUUUUGAUAAAGAUUUGGCCUUUUGGUCCUAAGCUAAGAUAAAGAAUCUACUUUGUUGUAAACCCUUGUGCUCAUUUUGAAGUGGGUUUCUUAAGAUUUUGAGCAUAAGAAUGAGAGUAGUAUUUAGCACUGACUUGGGUAUGAUUCCAAGGUUUCAUACCCCAAAACUACGUACCACCGUAGGAUUAAGAUUUUUCCCACUUCUACGUGGAUGACUAAGAUUGUGACCACUAAGAUAGAAGUUCUAUUCCGAUGAAAAAGGUAGAACAUCCCUACCUAACAGGGUCCAGACGUGGGACUCCAUGGAUGCUCACAUGGUGUAUGUCGGUUAGAAGAACCUCCCAACAGAUGUUCCCCACUCUUCAACAGUUUAUUGAUUUAAAGAUUUAAGAUAAAAGCAUAUGUUUUGGAAGUUAUGAUUUUAAGAUUUUAAGCCCUAAUAUAAAGUAUUUUCCAGAUUUUAGAAAACUAUGUGUAAAGGCUCACCGUUUUACUCAGAUUAUGCUUUACAGAAAGAUAAGAGUUACAGAUUUUAGUUUUCAGAUUUUAGACUUAGAACUGAGUCCUUUCUACACUUAGAUAGUAUGAUUUAAAGACAUAGUAUUAGCAUAGCUUUUAGAACUAAAUAUUAUUGCUCACUAGAUUUACAAGUAUGGUGUGUUUCUCAUGAUGAUUAUUUUCAGUAUUUCAGAUAUUCUAGCUUAUGUGAGAUAUUUACAUUUAGAAUGCAUUGUUUUACAAAUUAUGAUGACAAGAUGAUGUUCUACUUAUGCAUUUCACCCCCAUAUACUCAGUAUAUCCUCAAAGUACUGAUCCAUAUAUAUGUCUAUAUGUUACAUUAUCUCAUAAUGUAGGUAUAAGCUCAGUUGUAGCACGUAUACUAUAUUCAGCCAAUUUGCAUAUUCCAGCCAGUAGAUGAGGAGUCCUCCUACUUUGGGGACGUUAGUUAGAUGUUAUUGAUAUACUUUAUUUUCUUAUUCAUAUGUAUUGAUUAGUGAUAGUUAGAUUCGCGUCCCUCUUUCGGACUUUAUCAAAAUGUAAAAGUUGUAUUGAUAUUGUAUUUUUCUCAGAUUCCAUCGUUAUUAUGUUUCCGCACAGUAAACUCAGUCGUUAUAUGCAUAUCAUUCAGUUGCUUAUGAGUUAUGCCUGUAGAAGGGUUAGCUUGGGAUCACUUGUGAUCUGAAGCACCGUGUGAUGUCUCGGAAUAGAUUUUUGGGGUGUUAUAUGUAAUUACUAUGAGAUUAAUUAAAAUUGUAAGUGAACUUAUCCAUUCAUCUUUAAUUUUAGUUAUAUCAAUUUAGUUAUUACGAAUAAUGGCUUAAUUUGAUUCAUUUCAGAUAAAACUGGUCAACUAAUCACUCUAUUCAUGGCGAAUACACUUAGUUGAUCAUGUAAUUAUUAUAAGAUUAAUUGCAAUUGUAAGUUCAUCUCUAAUUUUAGUUAAAUCAAUUUAGUUAUUACUAAUAAUGACUUAAUUUAAAUCUAUUCAAAUAAAAUUGGUCAAUUGAUCACUCUACUCAGGACGAAUACACUUAGCUAAUCAUGUAAUUGUUAUAAGAUUAAUUGAAAUUGUAUGUGAACUCAUAAAUUCAUAUUUAAUUUUAGUUAAAUCAAUAUAGUUAUUACUAAUAAUGGCUUAAUGUGAAUCAUUUCAAAUAAAAUUGGUCAAUUGAUCCUUCUACUUGGGACGAAACACUUAGUUGAUCAUGUAAUUACUAUGAGAUUAAUUGAAAUCGUAAUUGAACUUACUGAUUUAUUUUUAAUUUCAGUUAAAUCAACAUAGUUAUUUCUAAUGAUGGCUUAGUUUGAAUUAUUUCAAUAAAAUUGGUCAAUUGAUCACUCUACUCUCGUAUAAUUACCAUGAGAUUAAUUGAAACUGUAAUUGAACUUAUUAAUUCAUAUUUAAUUUUAGUUAAAUCAAUUUAGUUAUUACCAAUAAUGAUUUAAUUUUAACCAAUAGAUGACUAACAUAUUGCAACAGAUGAAUAAUCUGUUGUAAAUGACCAAACAUAUAAAGACAUCUGUUGAAAAUGACCAAACAAAUAUAGACAUCUGUUGCAACAGAUGGCUAACAUUUUGCAAUAAAUGACUCAUCUAUUGAAAAUUACCAAACAGAUAUAGACAUCUGUUGAAACAGAUGACUAAGAUAUUGCAACAUAUGACUCAUCUGUUGGAAAUUAUCAAAUAGACAGGAUAUAUUUUGAAAAAAAAUUUAAAAUACUAAAGCUCAAAUAUUUUUAGGAGUACUCAAACAUUUGUCCCCCUGUCUAAGGUUUUGUCUUAAAGACUUAUCUUCAAUUUUAAAUAAAUUAAUUUAGUUAUUACUAAUAAUUGCUUAAUUUGAAUCAAUAAAUGACGAACCUGUUAUAAACACUUGUUGCAAUAAAUGACUAACUUAUUGCAACAAAUAGUUCAUCUGUUGAAAAACAAUUAAAAUACUAGGAAACUCAAAUAUUUUUAGGAGAACUCAAAUGUUUGUCCCAUUGUCUUAAAGACUUGUCUUUAAUUUCGUUAAAUUAAUUUAGUUAUUACUGAUAAGUGCUUAAUUUGAAUCAGCAGAUGACUAACAUAUUGCAACAAAUGAUUCAUUUGUUGGAAAUUAUCAAACAGAUAGAAAAUUGUUAUAACAGAUGGGUCAUUUAUUAGAAAGCAAUUAAAACACUAGGGAACUUAAACGUUUUAAGAGAACUCAAAUGUUUGUCCCCUUGAUCCUUUUGCAUUUGAUGUAUAGUAUACCAUUUUCAUCUUCUUUAGCUAUUUCAUGAAUUUUUUCAUGUGUUUCACUUAUUCGUUGUACCCCUGUUGAAAUUUUUGAACUUUUUUUAGGUUAAAUUUUGUUCGUAUAUGACUUGGAAAAUACUUCAUAGGUGAUUUUGUAAGUAAAAUUAUGAUUUUUGUUGAAUUUCUUAUUUGGUGUAUCUGCUACUGCUACAAUGGAUAAAACCUGCAAAAUGAAUCCAACAUGUGAGUCAUCUGUUACAACAAGUGAGUAAUCUGUUGCAACACAUGAUUCACCUGUCUAUAAUAUGAAUCCAACAGAUAAGUAAUCUUUUGCAACAUAUGACUCAUUUGUUGCAACAGAUGAGUAAUUUGUUGCAACAUAUAACUCAUCUAUUGCAAUAGAUUACCCAUAUAUUGUUGCAACAUAUGACUCAUCUGUUGCAAUAGAUGGGUCAUAUGUUGCAACAGAUUACUCACAUAUUGGAUUCAUGUUACAUGUUUUAUCCACUGUUAAAAAAAUAGUAGUAGCAGAUACACCUAGAUGAGAAAUUCAACUAAACAUUAUAAUUUUACUUACUAAAAUCACCUAAGUAACACACACUAAGAAAAUCAAUAUUUACCAACAACAUCAAUAUUGUACAAACACAAAUAACAAAAAAUAUCAAAAAAAAUAACAUCAACAAAUCAACAGUUGUUUGUUAGAUUUGGUCACAAAGAUGUCUCUGAAAAAAAUUUAAAUUCAAAUCUCGGUAUUUUUACAACAAUGUUCGACAACAAGAACUGCAGUAACAAUAAAAAAUCAUAUUUCACUCCGAAAAGAGAAGAAAAGGAAUACCACAAAUUAGGGUAUUCUUGAGUCCCCAUUGUAAAUUUAAGCAAUAUAUAUUAAAAUUGUUAACUCAUACUAGAAGAGAAGUUAACUCAAGUUCCUCGGUUUCUUCAUAACUAAAAAGUCCUAAUUUUUUACCUGUGAAAAUUGAAAAGAAACGAUGAAGAACUCAAAGUUUUUAUCACUGUAGAAUGUUGUCACAUCGACUGACGGUUGAAAGUAAAAACAGAAAGGACAAGAACUCAAAACUAUUUGUCGCCGGAGGUUGAAGUUGCAGAAGAUUGAAGGGAGAAAUUUGGAAAGUUCUUGGUUGAGAGAAGUUAGAGAGAGAAACUAUCGAGAGAAAGAUAGGAGAGACAAUUGAUUUGCAGAGAGAGGGGAGUUUUGUGGGUAUGGAUUGAUUUGUAUUUUUUAAAAGAUUAGAAAGUUUUAAAAACAUUAAUUAAGUCCAUAAUUAACUUAAUCAACUUUCCUAAUUAUGUUAGACCCUUUAAGUUGGUCAAUGUCACCAAUCCUUCAUUCAAGACUUAAAUGACACCUUUCCUUCAAUUUUCUCAACAUACCUAGUGCGGCCUAAGAAGAAUAGAAACUUUAUUCCUACCUUAGAAAUUGAGAAAAUCAUUUAAAUUAUCCAUAUAAUUAUUUUCUUGAAUUACUAUGUUUUAGUGUGUUUUGAAAGUAUAAAAUUAAAUUAAGAAUAAUCAUAAAAGUAACAUAACACUAUAAGUUAAAAACCUAUUAAAAUGGGAGAAAAGAUAACAAAAUUAACGAUAUCAUGAAGGACCAAAAAAGUUGAAAAGAAAUAUAUUUUGAAAUAAUAUUUAUUUCAAAAAGAAUAGUUAACUUUUUUCAUUAACUUAAAGUAAAGUAUAUAUUUAUUAUUAUUUCAUUAGAGAAAAUUUAUUAGUUAUUAAUAAUAUAAUUUAUAAAAAGAAAGCAAAAAUCAAAGCAAAAAUCAUAUAUGUAGUAGUACUAUAAGUAAGGAAACAUGAGUUAGAAAAAAAGGUAAACGAAGUGAAAAGGCCAAACAAAACAAAUCUUAAAUUCUACCAAAUCAAAUAAAAAUUUUAAAAAAUAUCAAACUUAAAUCUCUCUCCAAGUGUGGUUUUGUUUUCCAUUUUAGAGUCAAACUCCAAAAUCAUUACCCAAAAAAAAUCAAAAAUUAAAAAGCCUAAAAUUUUUCUCUAAAAUUUUCAAACCUAAUCAAAUAACUUACUCCUCCUACCACUUUAAACACCUAGAUCCCUUCCCCUCUCCCUACUUCUUUCUUUUCUUCGCCUCCUCUCAUCCCUUUUCGCCCCCACCCUUGCGAUCAUAGUUUAUGAUUCCAUUUGAAUUUUUAUGUGUAAUGUUUGUUUAUCAACUUUUUAUUUUUAUAGGUUCUUACAACAUGAAAUUCUUCAAGUAGAUGAGAUAAGUUUUAUAGUAUAAGUAUUGCAUUGGAUUUUAUAUAUUUUAGUUAAUGUAAAGGUAACUUUUUUAUAUGCAUGUGUUCUAAAAGUUGAUAUUGAAAUUUGAUAUUUUUUACUCGUAGAUUAUACUGAUUAUGUUAUUAUUGUUGUAUUGACAAUUGAGAUCUACAUCUAUAUAUUCUAAGUUGCUUUGCACUUUUUCUUGUUUUUAUUUGUUAAAACUUAAGUAAAAGAAUUAUACAAUACAUAUAUAUUUUUUCUCCUUGAACUUCUAUGUAUACACACAUUUACAUAUAUAAUUAGUUGGUCUUGAUUUUCUUGGAGCUAAUAUAUUUUAUCAUUAUUUAUAGGCAUAUUAAUGUAAAAGGAGCAUGCAAAUGACAAAUUAGUACGAAUGCUGAUCAAGUUAAGGUGCACUUGAAGACAUGAAAGGAGGAUCGAAGAAGACUAUGCUGCUUUGAGCUCAAACAAAAUUAUGUCUGAAAAGAAUUAUAUAUUGUGACUAUUCUUAAAAUUAUAAAACACAAUUAUAUGUAACUUGACAAUCGUAUUGGAAUCUCAAAAAUGAAUUCAUAACUACUUUAUGUAACUUCAUUGACGGACAAAGCUAGUGAAAAUUUUUUAAUUUGUAAUAUGUAAUUUUUAAUUUCUUUAGUCAUAUUAAGAAAUUCUUUGAUUAAUAAUGUUUAUAGUUGAAUUCUUCAAUUUAUAGCAAUAAAUAUUGUAGUUUAGCCACAUCCUAUAUAUUAUAAAAAAUAUGGCUAUGCAUUUUCACUUUUAAUACAAAAAAAUUAGCUAUAGUUUUGGUAUUUCAUAGCAAAAAGAAUAAAAUUUUAGCCAUGUAUAAAAAUAUUUGUAGCAAAUAUUUUAGUUUAGAGCUAUAGAUUUUCUAAUUCGUAACUAAAUACAAAUAUUGUUAUCGGAAAAUUAAAAUAUAAAAUAGCCACAAUUUUUAAUUUUCAUAGCAAACAAAUCAAGUCUUUUGCCACAAUAGAACAGAUUGUGGGGAUAUAUAUAAAAAUGGUUGUAGAUUUUAGUUAUUGUGGCAAUAAGGUGAAACUUUUUGCUACAAGUAUAUAAUCUGUAACAAGAACUUUUUAUCAUCAUAGCUACAACACAAUAUCUUUUGUAACUGUAAGUAUUACUCCUUAGCCAGCGGCCAUGUAAAGUCUAUAGCUAACUUUUAGUUACACCGCUUUUUGCUACGGAAGAAAAGAUUGUGGCUAGAGUGUUAAGACACGAAAAUAUUUCAUAUUUAACUACAAGGUAUUCUGUAGUUAUACAUGCCUUAUUUUGUCGUGUGAGUUUCAUACGGUCCAGUCUUGGAUCUGAAAGGUAUUCAUGACUCCAGAUGAGGGGUGGAGUUAGGAUAUCAAAAGGGGUUCAUUUGAAUUCUCUUAAUCGAAAAUUUUCAUUAUAUGUGUGUGUAUCUGUAUAUAUGUCUAUAUAUGUAUAUAUGUAUAUAUAUAUUAGAUUAUUUAUAUAUAUAUAAUAGUAAUAGUUCGAUAUAUUCUCUUUGACUUCUUCGUAUAUUUAUUUUUUCACAUUUUGAAUCUUCUUAGUGAAAAAAUCUUAAAUUUAUAAUUGCUCAAGGUUCAUAUUAGGAAAGUAGAGUGAGGUGAAGAAGGGGCAAUCAUCGACCCGAUAAUUAAUUUGCUCCAACGGAUAAUCACGAUUCUAUAAUCAAAGGAACUUUGUCACUUUUAUAUAUUUAGUAGAGUAAAAUCGACCUUAAAUAAAGGUUAUCUCGAACUCACAUCCUGAAACUAAAUACUUAUGUGAAAAUAUUUAUUAUUCAAGACUUCAAAAUGAAUAUAAACACAAAUAAUAUACUACUUGAGACUUGACAGUCCUAGGGAUGGCAAAUGGGUGGAUUGAAUUGGAUUUAGAUGGAUUGAAUAUAGAUUGAGCUUAAAUUGAUUGGAUUACAAUUCCCCCCAUAUAUUAUAGGGUAAAUUACACAACCCCCAAAAAUCGGGGUCAUUAAUAUAUAAACUUCCAUACCAUUUAAAAAGUUACAUAAAAAUCUCAGAAAUUGAAAAUUGCUCUUAAUACAUGUGUGACACAGACUACAACCGCAAACAGCUUCACCAUUAUCGCCAAAAAUCACGCGAUUUCAUAUUUUAAAAUUUCCUCAUCAAAAAUUUUGGUAAACUUUCUUCCACAACCAUGUUGUUAUUAAUUUAUCAUCAACAUUAAACAACUGAACACAUUAUUGAAGUUGAGAUCUAUUCGAUUUUAAUAUUUUUAAAAUAUUGUUCAAGUUAACUUUAAUAUUAUUCAAAUUUUCAAAUUUAUAUUGUUUCUUAGUUAUAUAAACACAAGUGUCCUUUAUACACCGUUAAUGACUUCACUACCUUCAUUCAAAUUGGCAUUGCCCCAUUAGAAAUUAAUGUUGAUUUUUCGAUGAAUAGAGUAGUUAGUUUUGUUUCGAAUGUUUUUAGCAUAUUUCCGAUGAUUUUAACGAAAAUAGAUCGUAAUAUAAGAAUGACUCUGCUAUGAUGGAGAAAAUUAGAGAAGAUUAUCAUUCAAGAGUUGCAUAUUCAGAAUUAUCAUUCAAGAGUUGCAGAUUUAAACAUGAAAAGGAUGAAAAAGAACAACGCAGAGAAGAUAAACGAGAACUCAAUUAAUUAGAUAACAAAAUCAUGUUUACUAUCAUUUAAUAUAUAAGAUAAUAUUUUAUUUCUCUAGAUACAUUUUAUUUUACUUAAUACAUAUUGUGUUUGUAUUAAAGAUACUCUUUUUAUACAUUUUGAUAUAAAGGAAAUAAUGAGUUGAUACGUUUUAAUUGUGAACCUAUGUUAUAUUUAUUUUUUUCAUGAUACAUCUUUUUGAUGCAUAUGAGAUUUAGUUAAUUUUGUUAUACAUUUAGUAUGUGCACGCGUUACAUCAUAGUCUAUGAAAAACGGUCUGUGUGAUACUGAUAUAACUUUGUUGAUACAUUUUAUAUAUCAAUUAAUUUUUCUUUAUAUUCAUUGCUCAUUACACUUUUAUCUCAUACUAGUCAGAAAACAAUAAAUUUAUCAGUCCACACAGUUUCAGCGAUGUCAGAAUAAUUUAUUAUUUCAAAAAAAUUUAAAUUGCCGAAUAACCACUGUUUCAGGAAAUCUCAAAUCAUCGAACAAUCAUUGUUCCACCGAAAUUCAAAUCGUCAAUAUUGUUAUUAUGUUAAAUUAAAAUACUAGAAAAUUAAAAUUUUAAGAAAAAAAAAAAGAUUAAUGGAGAUGAAAGAAAUUGAGGCAAAUUGUAAAUUGCAAACUGUAGAAAUCAUCUGUCAUCUAGUUCAUUGAAUUGCGAAAAAUGGUAGCGGAAAUUCUUUGUUUUGAGUAUUGAAAAAAAAAUAGAAAUUGAAGGGUGGUGGCGAUAGUAAGUUGUUGAAAAUUGAAACUGAGGGAGUUUUGUUGAUUGUUAAUGGUGUUAAUUGGGGAAGAAGGAGGAAUGGAGGAGCCCAGAUCAUUUUCACGUAAUUUACUCUCCUAAAUAAAUGUGAUUUCUGUUAUUUCCUUAUGUAAAUUAAUAAUUAAUUGAAAAUGUAUCAAAAUAAAUAUGUAUUAGGCUAAAAAUAUAUAUCAAAAAACAUCACUUAUAUCAUUUUAUGUAAUUAAAAAAUUGUGGUAAGAAAUGUAAUUGACUCUUAACUUAUGAGAUUUCUGAAAGUUAUCCUAUAUUACAUGUGUAAAUAUGGUCAAAUAUGAAUUGGGUAAAAAUGAUGGAUAACUUGCACAAAUUUCAUAAGUUAAGGAGCUACUAACAUUUUUUACCACAUGUUUUGCCUAAUUUCAUAAAAUGUCAUAAAUCUCAUUUUGAGAUACAUAUUUCAAGCCUUAAUACAUAUCAUCUUUGAUACAUUUUAAAUCAAUCGAUUAGUUAAAUAAGGAAGUAACAUAAUUGCAUUUAUCUAAUAAAAAAUUUAAAAUUUUAAUUUUUUUAUUAUAGAUAUUUUAGAAAUACUCUCCCAUAUAUAUAUAUAUAUACACACACGCAUAUUUAGUACUGAUGUUAUCUGAUACAUAUGUGUAAUACAUAUAUCUCAUAUAUUAGACUUCUAACAUAUGUAUCAUCCUUAAAUUAUGGGAAGGAAACACUAGUUCUUGAUAUGUACAUUCAUCAGAUACAUAUGUCUGAUGCAUGUAUGUUUGGUACUUGUGAUUGGUAUAUUAAUUCAUUUGAUAAAAAUUGAUGGACUUUGAUAAGAACAACAUAAUUGUGUUCAUAGAUAUUCAUAUGUUUUAUAAACAUGUCCUAACCUACUAGAUACAUAGAAAAGUUAAUAAAUUUAUUGUAUGAGCAUGUAGAUGCAUUCAUAUGUAUCAUGACUAAGCAAAUAUAUUCUUUUUUAUUGUGAUGCAUGUGCAUGCAUGCAUUCAUAUUUAUUCAUAUGCAUCCAUGCAUUCAUAUGCAUGUAUUCAUACAUUCUUUUUUAUAUGUAUCAUGGAUAAAAAAAUUUUUUUUUUUACUAUGAUACAUAUGCAUAGAGAUACAUUUGCAUAUUUCAUGAACAAAUACUAAUAAGCUUCAUAUUACAUAUGAAUUUGUAGACUAUAAUACAUUAGCAUGCAAGCACAUUUAUAUGUAUCAUGAACAAAAAAUUACAUUCUUUUUUACUAUGAACAUAUGUAUAGUGUUACAUUCGUAUGUAUCAUGAAAUUUAUUUUAAUGAAGUGAUAUUCUUCUCCAUCUUUCCCACUAUCCAUUAAUUCUAUCAAUCUUCAUUGAAAAGCAUUCAAAUACACCAACAACUCCUCCACCGCCACCUUCGUCUUUACUGUCGUUCUCGUUGAAAACGUAGCAAAAUUAUUCAAUUUUUCCUUUUUCUCUUAAUGAGUAUCACCUUGAUAAAAGGUUAAUGAAUUAAUGGUGAAAGGUGUUCAACGAAUUGUUGUUUAUGUGAGUGUGGUGGCCAGAAUUGGUGAUUAUCCGACGAGGAUCGUGAAUCUGUGCAACAAUUAGUGAAGGAAAUCAAUAGUGAAGUGAGAGUGAAGUGGAAUUCAAUUCUCUUCCAAAAACACAAGUCUUGUCCGUAGUGCCAAUGGAUGAAGUAUAACAGUAAAGUGAAGUUCAAUUCAAUUGGAUCUUCAUUAAUGGUGUUGAGAAAUGAUUAUGGUAUUAAAAAAAAAGAUUACGGAAGAAAGAUUGUCGAUAUUUUCGGGGAGGAGAUUCUGAAAGAUGAAAUAUCGUGAUUUUGAGCGACAAUAGUGGAGUUGCAUGCAUUAUAUAUAUAUAUAUAUAUAUAUAUAUAUAAUAUUAAAAGUGUAAAGACCCUUAGAAAAAUGAUUUGAACUUUUUGCCUUUCAUUAAAAGACUCCAUAUAAACAAAAUCAUCUUUUCAUUACUUUUCUUCAAUUAUUAUAUCAUUAUUUUUAUAACAUUAAAUAUUAACUAUAAUAAAUAUAUUAAAAAUUAAAUAAAGAAGGUUUUCUUAUUAUGGUUAAAUUCCUAAGUUUAUGAAGUUUUUAUUUUAGGUAAAAUGUUAGUUUCUAUUAAUUGUAGUACUCUUUAUAUAUAUAAAGAGAAGGCACCAACAUCACCAAAAUAGAAAAAAAAAAAAAAAAAAAAAAAAAAAAAACACAUUAAUUCUUUUAGGGAAUCUUUCAAAAAUAGCUACAUUCUGUUGGAAAACUUAACUUUCAUUGUCAUAUUUUAUAUAAUUACCAUUUAUAGCCAUUGCAUUCAGUUUACGCCCGCUGUAUUCGAUUUUAUCAAUAGUCUGUAUUCAUAUAAAAUAUAAAUACAGUACCAUUUAGCUGUUGUAUUCGAUUCACAGCCACUGUAUUCACUUUUACUUAGUGGUCUAUAUUCAUAAAAACAUAAAUAUACUACAUAUUUAGUCUUGCCAAAAACACUACCAUUUUUUUAUUUUUAUUUUUUUAUAUUUCGUCUUUUUCGUGCUUUCCUCAUUUUUUCUUCUUCUUUUUUCUAAUUUUUCCUAUUUUUAUUUUUUUCGUUUUUUUAUAUAUAUUUUUUUCUCUCUUAUAUCUCUUUCUUUUUUUUUUCCUUUUUGUACUUAUUUUCUUUAUCAUUUUUUUGUUCUAUUUUAUAUUUUUUGUAUUUUAAAAAAAUAUAACUACUCGAGCACAAAUCAUUGAUGAUAACAUAAAUACCAUAAUUAUUUAUCUAUUUGUAGUCACACCAUCAUUUAUAUUUUUGUAUUCAUUGAUUCAACUAUAUUUGUAUUUGUACUUUAAAGUUCGCACUUGUAUUUGUAUUUUGUAGUUCGCGUUUAUAUUUGUAUUUUAUAGUUCGCACUUGUAUUUGUAUUUGUUAGUUCGCACCAUCAUUUAUAUUUUAUAUAAUUCGCACUUGUAUUUUAAAGAACUGUUUUGUAUUUGUAUUUUAUAAUUGACUGUAUAUUAUAUUGGAUUAUAUUUGUAUUAUGACUUUAUUGUGUUUGUAUAUUUAGAUUAUAUUUGUAUUUGUAUUCUAUUUUCGUCAAUGUCUUUUUACUUUUAAAGAAUUAUUUUGUAUUUGUAUUUGUAAGUUGAUUGCAUAUUGUAUUUAGCCAUGAUUAUGUACAAUUUAUCAUUUGUAUUGUAUACAAACAAGUAAAUACAUUAAUUGUAUUUUCUUGAUUCUAAAAUAUAUAAAUAUGCAAUGUAUCAUUUGAUACAAAUGUACCAUUUUGUAUUUGUAUGUCAAAAUUAUUAUUCGUAUUUAUAAAUAAAUAAAUAUCACUUGAUAAAAAUAUAAUUACAAAUAAAUGAAACCAACGAUUUUAAAAAUACAAAUACAUAUUGUAUUUUUAUAAAAAUUUGAAUUGUAUUUAUUUGUAUCAAUAAAUACAACUCGUAUAAAUAAAUACAAACAAACAUUCGUAAAAAGAAAAUCAAUCGUUCUUUUUCAAUAAUUAAAAAAUACAAAUGAUAGUUCACACUUGCAUCUAUAUGUUAAAGUUCACAUUUGUAUUUGUAUUUUAUAGUUUUUACUUGUAUUUGUAUGUUAUAAUUCGCCUUUGUAUUUAUACUUUAUAGUUCGCACUUAUAUUUCUGUUUGCUAGUUCGUACAAAUGAAAAUAACAAAAAAAUAAAAAGAAAAAAAAGGAGAAAAAUGUGAGGAAAAAUACAAAAAAGAAGGAGAGUAAUAGAAAAUAGAGAAAAAAUAAAAAAAUAGAAGGAGAAAAAAUAAAAAGAGAAAAAGGAAAAAUAAAAAAAUAUAAAAUAAAAAAAGACAACGAAAAAGAAAAAAUUGAAAAAAAAAAAAAAGAAAGAGAAAACAAAAAAGGAAAAGAAAAAAUGAAGAAAAAAAUUGAAAAAAAGAGUAAUAGAAAAUAGAGAAAAAAAUAAAAAAUGGAGAAAAAUAAAAAGAAAAAAGAAAAAAAUACUAAAGAAAAAAAAGAAAACGAAAAAAUUGAAAAAAGAAAAGAAAGAGAAAACAAAAAAAAAGGAAAAGAAAAAAAGAAGGAAAAAACUGAAAAAGAAAAAAAAAGGAAAGACAAAAUGAAAAAAAGACAACGAAAAAGAGAAAAUUAAAAAAACAAAGAAGAAAGAGAAAACAAAAAAAAAAAGGAAACGAAAAAAUCAAGAAAAAAACUAAAAAAAAAAAAGAAGAAGAGUAAUAGGAAAUAAAGAAAAAAAAAAGGAGAAAAAAUAAAAAAGGAAAACAGAAAACGAAAAAAUUGAAAAAAGAAAAGAAAGAGAAAACGAAAAAAAAAAAAGGAAAAGACAAAAACAAGGAAAAAACUGAAAAGGGAAAAAAGGAAAGUAAUAGAAAAUAGAGAAAAAUAAUACAUGAGAGAGGCUAUGAAUUGUAAUUAUGAAAAAUUAAUAGGCAAGAGGGGGUUAUGAAUUGUAAUUAAUUGAAACUAGGCUAAAUAAGGUAAUUAGAAGUCAAUAUUGGCUAAGUUAUGUAAUUAUUCCUUAAAUUUCCCCUCCCAAAAGGAACAAAAUGGCAGGAAUUCUUUUUCAUAUAAAAUAGACUAGAAAGUUGGCUAAGAAAAUUUAAAAUUGGCAAAAAAAUAGCAUAAACCCUUUAACACGUCCAAUAAAUUAAAUAUUGGCAAAAAUAUGGAAAGAACUAUAUUAUUAGGGUUUUCUUACCCUUUUUAAUGUAAUUGUUAAUUUAUGCUCCUAUGCUUCUUCUUUUUUUUCUCUUUUCACGAUUUUAACUUAUUUUUUUCUGAUCUUGCGCCUUUUUCUUCUUGGUAUUUAGUUCUGCCUUAUGGAUUUCUAUGUUUUGAAAACUUUUAUUUGUUGGAAGCUAGCUCUUCUAGGUUUUGGAAGUCACCUCUUCUAAGUAUGUCAAUUAGAAGGAUUGGUGACAUUGACCAACAGAUAGGAUCAAACAUCAUUAGAAUACUUGAUUAAGUUAAUUGUGGACUUGAUUAAUAUUUUCAAAACUUUCUAAUCUUUUCAAAAAUACAAAUCAACCNNNNNNNNNNNNNNNNNNNNNNNNNNNNNNNNNNNNCAAAAUUUCUCCCUUCAACCUCCGGCGACAAAUAGUCGGGUGAGUUUCUUUUCAACUUUCAACCGUCAAUCGACGUGAAUACUUCUCCGGCGACAACAACUUUGAGUUUUUCAUCCUUCCAUUUCCUUUUUCACAGGUAAAAAAUUAUGAAGAAACAGAGGAACUUGAGCCAACUACUCUUCUGGUAUUGAAAUGUGGACUGAAUAAAACCCUAAUUUCUAGCAUUUCUUCAUUCCUUCUUCUUGUUGUCGUACUGUUGAUUCGAAUUUGUUAGUGAUUUUUUGUCACAGUUGAUGUUCUUAGUAUGUAUGUGUGUGUGUGUGUGAUGUGUUGGUGUUGCUGGGUUGAUUUGUUGUUUGUCUUGGUAGAAAUGGUAUUACAACAGUUGAAACAUAUGAUGUAAUAGAUGAAACAUAUGAUGCAAUAGAUGAAAAUCUUAUGCAACAGAUGAAAAAUUUGAUGCAACUAUGAAAAUCUGAUGCAACAGGUGAACAAUCUAACAAUUCAUUCAUUUGUUCGGACAGACGACUCUUCUGUUUGGAAGAAAUCUAAACAAUAUUGAUCCAAUAGAUAACUGAUUAGUGAUCUAUUUUUAUUCUUUCCAACAGUUUAAUCUUCAUUUUACAACAGAUUAGGACUGUUUUUAUUCUUUCCAACGGUUUACUCAACCGUUACAAUAGGUCGGUUAUCUGUUGCAAUAGAUAACAUACCUGGUGCAAUAGAUUAGUGAUCUAUUUUUAUUCUUUCCAACAGUUUAAUCUUCAUUUUACAACAGAUUAGGACUGUUUUUAUUCUUUCCAACGGUUUACUCAACCGUUACACAAUUAUAAUCUAUGUUAUGUUCCUGUUAAUUUAAGAUAACAACAGAUUAGUGAUUUGUUUUUAUGGUAUUCAAUGGAUUACUCAUCUGUUGCAACGGGUCAGUUAUGUGUUGCAUCAGAAAAAUACCAGGUGCAACAGAUAGUGUUGUUUUUAUGGUUCCCACGAAUUACUCAUUCGUUGUAACAGGUCGGUUAUAUGUUGCAACAGAUAACAUACCUGGUACAACCGAUUAGUUGUCUGUUGGAACUGUUAUAUUAUUGUUAUGCAUUAAUCAAUUAUAAUCUAUGUUAUGUUCCUGUUAAUUUAAGAUAACAUGGCUCCCAAAAGAAAAGAAAUCAAAUCAAGUCCAAGUAAAGGAGCAAGUACAGUAGCUCAGCUACAUCCACCACUCUGUGAUCUUGCUUUACAAGCGUUAUCUCAAUCAAAAGCAGAAGAUAAUGAACACGGGAAGAAGGAAUCUUUCAAAAGAGAUGAUCCAAAUACUAAUAGCCCUUCCACAGAAGAAUUGGUCAAACCCUUCAGCAUUGAUCGCUAUCCUGUGAGAAUGCAGUGCGAUGGUGCCACAGAUUUAACGGGUGAUCUCGUGGUUAAGUCAGUCAUAGGAAAAUAUUUUGACGCCUUCAGAAAAAUACUUCGAGAACAAAAUUGAAUUCUUAUUUCAGGGAAAGCUGCUUUGGGCAAUAUCUUGAUUUGUCGGAGGACAACAAUGCUCGUUUCUAGAUGAAAAUGGUAUAUGAUCUUCUCAAGCGCAGGUUUAUGUAUGAAAAUAAAGAUAAGAUGGAUGAGGUAUGGAUAAAUUACUGUGGCAUGCCUGUUUUUUUUGUUGAGAGGAGUUUCCCAUAGUUACCGGACUAAAAUGUUAUCCUCCUUCUUCUUCUCAAGUUAUACCUACUCUGACCCAAAAAAAGCACCCCGCACACCCAAAAAAAAAAAGGCAAGUCGAGUGAUCGUGAUGACCUGGGGUCCAUUGUUGGUCCAAGCUUCAAAAAUAAAAAUCUGAUUGAAGCGUUGAAAGGUAAAGGACUUUCAAAGAAGCAAAAGCAAUCAUUGUGCUUGGUUUGGUUUGUACAUAAUUUUCAUGGGCCUUCAUGGUAAAUAUUUCUUUUAUUAUGGUAUGAUUAAUCAUUUUUUAUUCAAUAAUGCUUUUAAUUUAUUGGCAUUAUAUUAUAGGCUUGGGCAUUUGAAGUCAUUCCUUAAUUGAGACAACAAGUGAACUACCAGGAAGAAGUUUCCUGUCCAAGAAUUCUGAGAUGGUUGUCGGCCAAAACCGAUAAAAAUGCAAAAUUUCUUGAUCUUUUCAAUCCCUCCAAGGAAGUAGUAAGUUCAAUUCUAAUCAAGUUUUUUUUUAAUUACUGAUUAAAUGAUUUCAUCAUCAUUCUUAAUAUAUGUACCGAUUUAUUUUAGAUUGUCCAUCCGUGGCUUAUUCCGACCAAUCGAGAGUUGAAGAUGCCAUUUUUUCUUACUUUACAGUCUGUGCAAACUUUAUCGGACCCUAAGGUCGUUGAUGGAAUAAAAAUGAAAUUGUUUGGAGCAACAACCAUCACAAGAAAAACAAUUUUGGAGGGUGGGUCUAAUGAUGCUCUUCUUAUAGUUCUUGAAACAACAAGCCAUUAUGAUUAUGAUCAUAAUGGUUAUACAGAUUUUUCUUCAGAUUUUGCCGCAUCUAGUGAAUGUUCUUCAUGCAAAUGUCAAAACUGCAAGGCAAAACAUGAUGGAGUGAUUAAUCCUAUUAAUGCACUAACUGCUUCUGUAAAGGAAAUGACACCUAAGAGGGGUGUCAUUCCAUCAAAGAGGAUUUCAUAUCCAGACACUCCACUAGAGAUCAAGUGGCUAAGAGGAGAAGGAAAGACACUUCCAAGGCAUCAUCAAUCAUCAAAAAAAUAAGAUUACAACGCCUUUGUUUUGUCUUGCACCGAUUUUCAGUGUUCAAGGGCCACAGAAGAGCAGCAUGAGCUGAAGAAGGUGAAUGUACAUCAUCUAUUCCAAAAAAUAAACAGGCACAUAUCUAUUUCAACAGAUGAUCAUCUGCUGAAAAUUAUCAAACAGAUAUAUAUAUCUUUUGCAACUGUUGUCUAACCAGUUGUAUCAGAUUCAUUAUCUGUUUCAAUAGAUGAGUCUUAUGUUGCAACAGAUGGAUUAUCUGUUUGAAAUUAUCAUACUUCUCUAAUUUACCUAUUCGAAUUUAUCCCAAUAGAGAAUCCAUCUGAUGUAACUUAAGACUCAUCUGUUGCAACAAAUGGAAAAUUUAUUAUAUGUCUCUACUUAGGAUUGACAAUUCUGGCUUUCUAGGUAGAUGUCACAGCUACUGUCAAAGAGCAUAAUAUGACAGUUGAUAAUCCAUCAACUGCUUCCAAAGAUGAAGAAAAAGUGGAGCCUGUCAGUUUGGGCGAACGGAAGAAUUACCCAUUUGAAGGGUUCAACAUCUCGGAUGAGGCUCCAAAAAACUAACACAGUUAAUCAACGACUAUUCAGAAUGGAUUGUCGAUGGGCUGUUAAAGCAUCAUGCCGGCAGGUACAUAAAUCAAUUUUAUAGAUAUUGGUUUAUACAAUUCUUGUUAUAAGAACCUGUCAUUAACACAUAUAAAUCAUCAUGUAGAAAAUAAAAUGAUGAGAGCUACAAAGUGAACGAAUCGAGUCUUGGUUAUGAUAUAUUCGACUUUAUUGUUGCACAUCCCGAAACAAAGAAUUGGUUUUAUUUGAUGUCACAGCCCCAAACUUGCUGGAAUGAUGAGGUUUAAAUGCCAUACAUAUUACUAUUAAUUAAUACUUCAUUUAAUUUCAUCUACGUAUAAACUUUUUCGUCACAUAAUUUGAAAUGUUUGAUAAGAUGUGCAGCACAUCGAUGUCAUAUUUUACUACCUCCAAAAAAAGGCCAAGUUGCAAACACAAGAACAAUACAGAUACACAACAGGCAAUUGCUUGUACAAAGUUUACAUCAAUAAUGCCUACGAUAGGUAUUGUCAACAGCAGUCAGAAUUUUCCCAAAACGAGGAAUGCAUAAUCAAUCAAAGGUUUUAGUAUUUCGGCUGGCUUACCUUGGCAUUUAGUCGAUGAAGUGUACAUCCCAAUCAAUUGUGGUGAUGAAUUCUAUUGGGUGUUGGCUGUCGUCGUUCUAAAAGAGAGGUGCAUCCAAGUUUAUAACUCGAUGUCGCGAAGGAGAAGUUUUGGGCCGUCGUCUGAGAUAUAAAAGCUGGCCAAAAUAUUGCCUUCUUACCUUGAUAUGAGUGGCUUUUUGAAUCAAAAAGUUCGUACUGAUUGGUCGACGAUUGAGAAAUAUGUUGACGGAAUUGCUCAACAAACCAUUGGUAGCCUGUAAGUUUAAGUGUCAUGAUUUAGUUUCAUUUCACAAAUUUCACAAUGCUUGCAUUAACUGCAAGAUGUGGAUUAUCUUUUUUUUAUAACGUAGGGAUUGCAGUCCUUUUGUUGACACCUAUACCGAGUAUUUGAGCGAUGAAUUACAAGUACCAAAUAAUGGACUUGAUGUCGGAUUACUCCGCAAAAGAUAUGCUGUUCUUUUAUGGAAAUAUGGAGAAGCAAAAACUCAGAAACCGUACACAACCGAUGUUAAAGAUCCACGAUGACCAAAGCCGAAUUCCAUAGCACUGGAUGAAGAACAACUUGUCCAUACUGAUUAGAUCUUUAUAGCUUGAGUCCGUGAAUGUAAUAACAUAUCCUCCUUGGUUUAACUUGUUGAUCUAUUUGUAGAGUAGAUCGUUUGUACCCAUAAUGAUUUUUUUUACAUUUCAUUUAUUUGUUGAGUUAUUUCAUGUAAUUUCCGACGGCUUCGAUUUAUUUUAUUCUAUCUAUGAAUAUAAUUAAUUCUGAGUUUUGAACAUAUUAAUUGAAAUGGAGUACUAGAUUCAAAUAUUGCAACAGAUAAUACAUCUGCUGCAAUAGAUGACAUAUCUUAUUAGACAGAUUUAGAUAUAUGUUGCAACAUGAGAUUCAACACGUAGGUCAUCUGCUGGAAAUUAUAUAACUGGUCUUCCUACUUUUUUUAUUUUCUCCAAUAGACUAUCGAUCAGUUGUAAUAGAUAAGUUAUAUAUUGCAAUAGAUCAUAAAUUUAUUGCGACAGACAGAUGGGGAAUAUCUACUUAACGCAACAGAUGACCAACCUAUUCCAUCAGAUAAUCAAUCUGUCACAAUAGGUACUAUAUUUGUUAGAUAUAAAAUCUGUUGCAUUAUAAAAAUUCAACUUUGCCAGACAUAAAAAUUAUUGCCCCUACAUGUAUAGUGAAGUAGCUUGAAAUGAAAAUUUAUUAUCGUGUUCGUCUCUGUCUUUGUACAUGUUCUUUUUUAUACACGGGCUCCAAACAUUUAGUUAGUACCCUAUAUGCCCAGACCCAUUGCAUCUUUCCCACAAUGGUGUCGCACACACUGAUCAUUUGUGUGCCGGUCAGCAAACACUCGAUGUAUGCAAGCGAGUACGGCCUGCACGCUGCACCGGUUGUAUUUUUUGGCAGCUGGAUGUUCUUAUUUUGACCUUUAAAAACCCAUGAUUCCUUCGCCAAGACUUCAGCCGGCAAAUGAUCCAUCAGCUUACUCUGUGUCAACAACUUGGGCAACAACUUCAAGAGUAGUUGCAUGUGGGUUAAAAACAUCUUCUCACUGAACACAGGUAAGUUGCAGUCAUAAAUCUUAAUCUUUCCCUCAUAUAGUAGUAUCUCAACAGUGAGAAAAUGGGUGACAUCUACGUUCAUGACUGCAAGGAUUCUCUUUGCCUUGGUUCAGCUUUUACCGUGUGGAUAUGGCCACUUUCUUCUAACAUAUUUAAUCGCUUCUUCAUCCCAUUGGAACGUAGAACCUAACUGAUCAAACUACUGAAAUCAGAUUCUUACAGAGUUUAGCGUACCUAUCCUUGAAAGUAUUGUAAAAGUUGAGGUCCAUUAUCCUAACGGCAGCAUCAUAAGCAUCCGGGUACACUAAUUGCCUGCCCCUCAUGAGGCAAAGAAUUUCAUCAACAUACUGUGGUAUAAAAAGAUAAUUUUUAAAUAGGUUACUAAUUGUAAAGAAUAAAAAUACAGUCGAAAGAAUUCGAUGCAGAGGGUUCUCUGAAUCAGUUCACAGAUUACCCAACCAAUGCAACUUAUGCAACAGAUGUGUAUUAUGUUGCAACAGAAUACCAAGUUUUCGCAACAGAUUACACAUCUGUUGCGUAGAUUCUUCUUCAUGGAGUAGAUUGGAUGGGUAGGUUAGCAAAAGUAAACUUACCUUGUCCUCAUACAACACGUACAUAUUUGCCAUAUUCGAGAAGUCUUUGGCAGCAAAUGAAUACAUGGUGUAUUCUUUUUGAACCUUCAUCUUGAUGAAUUCUUCCAGUUCCUUCUUUUUGUCUUUGCCAAGCGCCGUCCACCUUCUUUGACGACCCCUGAACUUCAACAACUAUUGGAGCCAAGGGAGUUGCAAUUUUUGCUGGUUUCAGAAUGGAGAGAAUUUGUCUAAUUUUUCUUUUCUUCCUUCUAACCUCCCCUGUAAGAGUGCAUGGCUCCCUCACCUCGUUGGAUGAUAUGACACCCCUUCUGGAUUUCAACUUGUCAGCAGCUUCAGCAAUAGCCUCUAGCUUGUUGAGUAGUUUAUCCUCUCUAUCCUUGCACACUUUGCAUUUGCAAUGAGAACAUGAGGGUGAGAAGGGGUGAGAGGGACCACUAUAAGGGUGGGAGGGACUGGUGUAGGGGUGACAGGAAGGAUUUGUGCAAAGGGUGUUUUCAAACAUAUUUAUUUUUUUCUACGCACCAACAUGCUCAUAAUCACAAUUGGCAGCAGCAGGAUGGCUGCCACCUUCACAAACAACUCCACCGGUAACACCCCCAGAAGAAGACCCAGAUCUGUUGCAGUUUGAGUUUGGUCGUGAAGAGCUUCAACAUUAGACUGACCUUACCUAACUUAUCUUCUUAUGGAUGUUGCUCCAUCCAAUUCCUUCUUUAUUAACUCCACCAUUGGGUCUUCUUUUGUAUCAACAAGACCCAGAGUAAGAAAAGAAGUCAUCCCCAGCUCAUCAAUGGUAGACACGAUCCAAAGAUGCACAACCUAUAAAAAAUAACAGGAGGAAUUUAAAUCAUAUAAUAAUAAUUUACAGUUAGUUGGGUUACAUGGGGAUCGGGUUAUGUUAACACAUCCAACUUAUGCAACAAAUGAUCUAGCUACCGUAACAACUGAUCUGUAUAUUAAAACAGAUUGAUAGUAUAUUACAUCAGAAUCCCAUCUGUUGCAUAAUUUACAGUAGAUGGGUAAUUUGUUGAGUAAGGUUUAGAGAAUAGAGCAAUAUAUGGUUAAUCUGUUGUGAAAUAUGGAUCAUCUAUUGCAAUAGAUUACCCAUCUGUUGUACCAGUUAUAGUUGACGGGUAAUCUGUUAUAAUAGAUGGAAUAUCUGUUUCAAUAUCUUUUUUUGAGGAAAAUUAUUUUAGUUGAAAGAAAACGUACUGCAUUAUUCGGAGGGUUAAAGAGAUCAGCCUCAUUAAUAUUUUUUUUGCUGGUCUCUACUGCAGCCAACCACCUAAGGAUCCUUGGAUGAGAAACCUUAUCUGAGUAAUCCGUGAAAUGCUUUUGGAGGGGAGUAAUGGCUUCACAUGCCCAAGCUUAAAAAUUAUAAACAGGAAGCAAGCAAAAAAAAAAGUCACAAGUAUAUUCAAUAUAAAUUAAUGAAUGAGUAAAACUAGUGAUCAAUUUUACCAUGAAAGCCCAAGGAAAGCCCUAUAAUGUGGUCGUCUUUGGCUUUAGCUCUUUUAGUAAAUAUUUGGCAGUCAAGUAGUAGCUAUCGUAGCUCUAGGGAUAAUCGUUGAAUUUCCCAAAAUCAUCAGCAAGCACAAACAAAUCACGUUCUAUGACUUUCUUGAUGUCUCUUGCUAAUAAAAUGGAAUGGACAAAUCAAACUAAGCACAAUUUCUUCCUGUAGUGCUUUGGUAUGUCUUUAUUCUUGAGAUCCGCUAUCAAAUCCUUCACUUUGUAGCUAGGUCCAACAAUGCCUAACAACCCAUCUUUUUUUACCUUGCGUUUGUUGGACCCUUUGUGGGGUGUUUUCUUGAUGGCAGGUUCUUCUGGACGAUCGCAUCUCAAGCCCGCCACAAUGGAAAACUCUUUCAAUCCAAAACAAACCGGCAUGCCACAGUAGUUGAUCCAGACUUCAUCCAUCUUAUUUAUGCCCUCCUUCAAACCUCCAUCAUCCCCCGCAUACAUGAUCCUGCGCUUGAGAAGGCCAUAUACUAUGAUCAUUGAGAAACGGAGAGGGCAGGGCCCAGACAGCUCAAGAAAGUGUGCAAAACAGCUCUUCUUGAAAAGUCCAUCUAUGUUUUCCUUCUUCAUAAUACUCCUAAGUUCAUCAAAAGGUUUCCCCAACUGACAUUUAAGUACAAGAUCACCAAAUACUGCAUUAGGGUUAUUCAUCAGCAUCGCAACUCGAAACUUGUCAAUACUAAUGGUUUUGACAGAAUCACGCUGGAAUUUCGAUAUUAUUUCAUGCCCCAUUGGUGAGGAGGAGUUAUCACUUUACUCGGCUUCAUUUUGCCCUGACUAAGAUUGUUUUGGAAGUUCCUCCGAAUAUAUCUGUACUCUAGCUUUUUUUGUUUGGUGAUCGAAAGUUGAUCCACUUUCUCCACUUUCAGUUUCUUUUCUUUUGGGAGACAUCUUUUAACUACAAACAAAAGAAAAACAAAAAAUACGUUGCAUUUGCUGUCUGCAUAAUUUUUUAAAAAAAGGUGAGACAAAUUUCAAUAAAUUAUUCUUACCACAUAACCAAAAAAAAUACUCCAACGGACAACCCAUAAGUUGGAAUAGAUGGGGAACCCGAAUCUGUUUGAAGACCAAUUCAAUAUCUUCCCACAGAAAUUCCACCUGUUUCAACAGGUGGAGAAAUUUCAAUAAAUUAUUCUAUGCCACAUUACAAGAAAAUACUCCAACGGAUAACCCAUCAGUUAGAACAGAUGGGGAAUCUGUUUGAAGACCUAUUUAAUAUCUCCCAAUAGAUCUUCCAACCAUUGCAAUAGAUGUACCACCACCACCACAACCAAUUCCACCAAGACCACCACCAAUGCCACCAAUACCAAUACCAAGACCAGCGACACCACCACCAAAAAACAUAAAUACCAACACCACCAACAACAGCCACCAACAAUACCACAAACACCAUCCAAUAAUACCACGAUAGUCAACAAAACACUGAGAGAAAAACUAGGAUUUUCUCGGGUGCUUCCUACUUUUUUAGCAUCAAAACUCAAAAUUGUUAACCCAUUCUCGAAAAUAAUAUAACUAAAAGUCUUCUUUUUUAUCAUUAACUAAAAAGCCCUAUUUUUUAGAAUAAAGAACAAAUGUAGAACUCUUUUCGAACUCUAUUACAUGCGAAAAUAGAGAAAACAACGGAUACAAGCGGGAAUGAAGUCAAAAAAACAACUAUAUGUAGUCGUAAAUGGGAAGAAAUCAACCUGUUUUGAAGGGUUGAGCAAUAUGUUGAGUAGUUGUUAUUUGUAUUGUUGAGAGGGAGAAGACACCCCGAAAGAGAGAGAGAGAAGAGUGAGAACUUAAGAUUUAAAAUGAAAAAAAUUUCAUGCAAAUGGAUGAUUUGUAUGGGUUGAUUUGUAAUUUUGGAAACGAAUGACAAGUUUUGAAAUUGCUAAUUAGGUCUGAAUUGAUCUUAAUUAAUUUUAAAAAUUUUAAAAGAUAUAGUUUUUAAAACAUUGAGUUGAUGAGAACUCAUUUCAACUCAGAGUGAUCGAUCGACGACUCGGGUUGGGAUGAACGCAAUACCAACGCCAUGGAAUUGUAAAGACUCAAUUUAUUUUGUAGUUGACCCUGCGAGCUCAUUAAUUCAUCCCUAGUCUCACCUAUAUCAACUUAGGUACUAUCACUAUCCUAACAUUGAGUUGAUGAGAACUCAUUUUAACUCAGAGUGAUUGACCCUGCGAUCUCAUUCAUUCAUCCCUAGUUCUACCUAAAUCAACUUAGUUACUAUCACUAUCCUAAUAUUGAGUUGAUGAGAAAUCAUUUCAACUCAGAGUGACCGAUCGACAACUCGGGUUAGGAUGAACACAAUACCAGUGUCAUGCAAUUGCAAAGACUCGAUUAGAUUUGUAGUUGACCCUGAGAGCUUAUUCAUUCAUACCUAUUUCCACCUAAAUCAACUUAGGUACUAUCACUAUCCUAACAUUGAGUUGAUGAGAACUCAUUUCAACUCAGAGUGAUCGAUCGAUGACUCGGGUCGGGAUGAACGCAAUACCAAUGCCAUGCAAUUGAAAAAACUCGAUUGGAUUUGUAGUUGAUCCUACGAUCUCAUUCAUCCCUAGUUCCACCUAAAUCAACUUAGGUACUAUCACUAUCCUAACAUUGAGUUGAUGAGAACUCAUUUCAACUCAGAGUGAUCGAUCGAUGACUCGGGUCGGGAUGAACGCAAUACCAAUGCCAUGCAAUUCCAAAGACUCGAUUGGAUUUGUAGUUGAUCCUACGAUCUCAUUCAUCCCUAGUUCCACCUAAAUCAACUUAGGUACUAUCACUAUCCUAAUAUUGAGUUAAUGAGAACUCAUUUAACUUAGAGUGAUCGAUCAAUGACUCGGGUCGGUAUGUACACAAUACUAACGCUAUGCAAUUGCAAAGACUCGAUUGGAUUUGUAGUUGACCCUGCGAGCUCAUUCAUUCAUCCCUAGUUCCACUUAAAUCAACUUAGGUACUAUCAUUAUCCUAACAUUGAGUUAAUGAGAAUUCAUUUCAACUCAAAGUGAUCGAUCGACGACUCGGGUUGGGAUGAAUGCAAUACCAAUUUCAUGCAAUUACAAAGACUCGAUUGAAUUUGUAGUUGACCCUGAAAGCUCAUUCAUUCAUCCUUAAUUCCACCUUAAUCAAUUACAAUAAAAUCUGUUGCAACAAACGACUAAGCUGUUGAAAAUUUUCAAAUAGGUACAUAUAUGUUGCAAUAGAUGACAUAUCUUAUUUAAUUAUAAAAUAGAUAUUUUCAUCUGUUGUGACAGAUGACUGAGCUGUUGGAAAUUUUCAAAUAGAUAUUUAUAUCUAUUGUAAUAUAUGACAUAUCUAAUUUUAUUAAUUAUCAAAUGAAUAUUUUCAUCUGUUGUCACAGAUGAUUGAGCUGUUGGGAUUUUUAAACAGAUAUUUAUAUUUGUUGUAACAGAUAACUGAGCUGUUCGAAUUUCUAAACAGAUAUUUAUAUAUGUUGUAACAGAUGACAUAUCUGUUUGAAAAUUGUUUUUUCUCUUUUAAUUUUAAAGCAAGCAGCUUCUGGUCUGAGUAGAUAAUAUCAAGUAGUAGUACUUACUACUAAAGGCGGUAAAAAAUGUUUCUUGGAUAUCUCAAAAGUGAGUUCAUUGAACAGUCUUGUCUUGUAUUUUCCAUGUCAGUAAUCUUAUUCUUACUCGUGCCCCUCAAAUUAUUAAUGAAUAUUGAAAACCACCACGUCUACUUACACAAUGCAUCUAUAAAAAUUAUCUCAUCUCUUCCUUCAGCUGCAGUUUAUUUUAUUCAACUCUUAUCUUUUUGUCUCUCCUCUUUAGGGUCACAUCCUUUUUUCUCUCUUUUCUGUUCUCUUUUCUUCUCAUAAAGAUCUUUUCAGAUCUAAACCCAUCCAUAUCUUUUCUCGACUUAAAUUUCUGUUUUGAUCCCCUUUUUAAUAUUAAGGUAUGGUCUAUUAUUGCUCUUUCAUUCUCUUCUUCUUCUUUGCAAGUUAUUUACAUCUAUUUUUUAUUUAAUUAAUAUUUACCCAUAUCAUAUUUAUUAAAAAAAAUUAAGGAACUUGUAAGUGUUGAAUAAACAAUCCGAGAAUUUUUAUUACAAUAUAAGAAAAAAGUCAUCUGUUGGGAGAAGUUUAAAAGCCUUGUUGGCAGUAUCAUUUUUUUUGUAUGUAUUUUGUUUGUUUCAUUAUUGUUGAUGCAGUUAUUGAUGUUGUUGGUGGGGUUGGUGUUGUUGGAACUUGUGGUGUGGUGUUGUUGAUGGUUCUGGAACAAAGAAUGUUGCUUCUUUGUUGUUGAUGAUGUUGUUGGAACAAAUAUUUUUUUUAUUGAUGUUUAUUCUAUUGUUGAUGUUGCAACAGAUGGAGAAACUGUUGAAACAAAUAAAACCACCAGAAAGGCUGGUUUGAUGUAUUACAUCAGACUCCACAUCUGUUGCAACAGACUCCACAUCUGUUGCAACAGAUUCCACAUCUUUUGCAACAGAUGGAUAAUGUUAUUUUUGUGACAUCAAUUUUUUUCCUCUUCUUUAUAAAUAUAAGGAACUGACAGUUGAUCAACUUUUGACGGACUAUCGCAAGAGGCUGUAGUAAAUAUGGGAUCGGAGUAAUAAGCUGCUUGCAGAUGGAACCAUUUCCUAUGUAGGAGAUAUGUACUACUGAUAAUGUUAUCGUGGAAACACACACAGAGUGCACUAAUUUUAUAAAUGAUGUUUUUACUGAUUAGUCAUAGAUCGUUCAAACAAGAUGUAUGCAGUUUUACGAUUAAGUUUGGUAGGUCCAAACUGAUAAGGCUGAGGACCAUGAAUAUAGUUCUGAUAGCCUGUUAAGAUUUAAUAUCGGUUGUUGCUCAUGUUUAUUUGUGAAGCAUUGUGAAGGGAUCUAUUUUUUGUGUCAUUGUAAAGAGAUUCAAUAGCGAUUGGACUAACUUUUAGGGUGUAUUGGACCCUUAGAGGGCCUUCGAAGCUUAGCACUGUAUCUAACAAGAACGAGAAACCAGUAUAGUUUUUUCCCUAGCCAAAAUUUAUAUGGUUGGAUUGCUCGCUCGGGGUGAUGAUUAUAUGCCAGAAUGUGCAGUAGGAAAAUGCUUUCGAAGGAAAAUAGGUGGUUGAUGAAAGACUAUAUCAUCUGAGAGCUAAUUAAAGAAGAGACAUAGGGUAGAUACAACUUCUAACGAAUCUGGCCGGUGGAAUUAUCUUAACAGAUACGAGAUCUGAAUCAAGUGCAAAUAUGAAAGUGUAUCCGGUAAUGUAAUUUCAUCUGUUGUGUCUCUUAAAGAAAAAUAAUGCAUCUGAACACUUUGCUAGGGAUCUGCGUGGUUGGGAUUAUCACCUAGAUAAAAAAUAUAAGAAGACUAAUAAAGAAGCUUCAUAGGCAUCGAGGGUUGAAAUGAUGUACAGCAAGUCUAGAAAACUUAUGCCAACAGAAACUGCAGUUAAAAUAAGGAAUCUAAGCGAAGGCGGAAAAUUUUUGAAUUUUAAAUUUCAUCCCAUGAUUUCUUAUUUGUGUUUCCGAUUAGGUCCACUGUCAUUGACCUGAUCAGAACCACAAACGAUAUUGAAAGGCAAAUAGAGUAUCAUUGCUUCCUUAGCAAUAUGGUCAUAAUUGAUUGUGUUUUCUUGCCUUGACGUGUUUUCAACAUUCCUUGGAGAAGAUCAAAUGCUUGCUAUAGUAUGUGAAUCCCAAUAAUUUUCAAGCUUGCCUCCAGCUUGUUGAUUCUGUAUUCAAGCUGGUCGUUGCCAUCUUCAAAGUUGGUAAAGAGUUCCUCGUCUCUUGUAAGCACGAUCAGGAACACUACCUUCAAAGUUGUGGUAUUCUAGAAGCCCUUCAAAACACUUUUUUCAGAAGCCUUAAAGGAUACAUGGAGGGUCUCUGUGUUUUUUUAGGUCAAAAUAUGUUGAUGCACGUUGACGACAUGGUCCCAACAGUUGAACAACACACUUUUAUCAAGCAUUGCUCCAUGCAUCUUGCUUAACCAAUUUGAUAAAUUAGUAAGCAUGGAGUUAUGUAGAGUGUGCUCU